UUGUUUUUUGGUUAUUUUUUUUUUUAGGAAUUAGAUUUUUGCAGUAGACCUGGAAGAAUUCACUUUAUUUCAAAACAUACUAGUUUAAUCACAUAAAGGUUCCCAUAUUAACUCGUCAGUCUUUUAGAUUCUUUUUCUCAUUUAGGUUUUCCAGAAUUUACUGUUAAUUUAGCAAUCAAGCAGGGAUGGCACUUCGUUCUUGAAAAGAUGGCUAUGGAAAAACCUGUGUCUAACAACACAUACCUGACAGAGGGCAACGAUUUUGCUGUUAUUACAGGGCCAAAUACGAGUGGCAAAACAACUUUGGCAUGGAACUGCUGAAGGAGAGGAGUUUCUGGUGGGCUCCCAGUGGCAUCUGAUGGAGUGACGCUGACAAGGAGUCGACAUCCUGGCAAUGGCAGGAACUUCCCAGAUGGCGAGGAGGCCUUCCUUCACACCCCAUGUGGAUCCACCCCACCAAGCAUCUGAGAGCUGAGUCGAAGGCUACGACCCGCAGAGGGGGGAUGAAAGCGGGGUGCCGCGUCGGGGCUCAUGACCUGGGAUUUUUGAGUCAGCUUUGGGGACGGGGAGGUCCAGGCUGUGGCCCCUUAGGCUGCACGGUGGGAGAGCCUCACUUUUGUUCACAGUGCUGAGGUGUGCAGGACAGAGCAGCCUCUGGGCGCGUCGUGUCACUCGUCCAUCGUGCCUUCUGUGUCUUUUGUGCCUCUUGUGUUGUAUGUGCCUUCCCUAUCUCUUCUGGGGGCUUACCAGAAACCCCAGCAUCACUUAUAGCAUCUCCAAUCUCUGGGCUCCUCGGCUCGGCUGCUCUCAGAGGCCUUGGAAUCGCGUCUCUUUUGACAAGCAUCCGAUUGGAUGUCUUUUAGACGUCUUCUUCCGAGCUGUGUCAACAGCCGUGCGCCGCGAGGAUCCAU
Cyanistes caeruleus (blue tit) is the source of this 911-nucleotide non-coding RNA. The record is from RefSeq and is a predicted model, not a curated record. Lineage: Eukaryota; Metazoa; Chordata; Aves; Passeriformes; Paridae.